AUGCUUUCAAUCUGCAGCCACCCCUUGAUCAUGUUCCAUACCCCGAAUGGUGAACCGACAUCGGAAGAGAAGGUGAUCCACUGUUUCCUGCUGACGCCGACAGAGGGGGCAAAGGCCACAGUUUGGCCAUCCACGUUUGGCCAAUCGGUCAGCGAUCCACACUCUGUUUUGGGCGGCCAACCAAGCGAAGAACUUCACUUUGGGAGGGGCCCAAACUUUCCAAAUAACAUGCUCCAGAGGCGAGCGCAUCAUGCCAUGAAAUUGCGCCUUGUAGGCAGAAGCCGCGGUGUAGAGUCCACUGUCAGUAUGCUUCCACACAAUCUCAUCCUCCGCAUCGUGUUGCAGUUGGAAGCCUUGAAUGCUAGACCAGAGCAGGAGGAAUUGGCUGAAAUGGUGAAUCGAGAAAUUGUGUGA
RNAcentral lists this ribosomal RNA (414 nucleotides) under Triticum aestivum (bread wheat). Its description in RNAcentral is "partial small subunit ribosomal RNA". Lineage: Eukaryota; Viridiplantae; Streptophyta; Magnoliopsida; Poales; Poaceae. The record is from RNAcentral.